UGGUUUUAAUUUGGUUAUCAUGAUAGGUUUCGCAUCACUGUGGCGGUGAUCUUUAUUUCUUUUGUUACAUCCAUAGUUACAUUAUUGUUGCACUAGUAUCGAUAUAGUUGUAUGCACUGAUUAUGCCAUGCCGUUAUUUAUAUAUUAUGCCUAUAUUGUUGGCACUAGUUCUACUGUGGGAUGUUAUCAUGUAACUACACUACCGUUUCUGCCACCUGAGGAUUAUUU
RNAcentral lists this long non-coding RNA (228 nucleotides) under Lathyrus oleraceus (garden pea). RNAcentral's name for it is "Pisum sativum (pea) long non-coding RNA (PSAT_LNC021438)". The record is from RNAcentral. Lineage: Eukaryota; Viridiplantae; Streptophyta; Magnoliopsida; Fabales; Fabaceae.